Molecule: ribosomal RNA, 374 nt
Filed under: uncultured eukaryote
Lineage: Eukaryota
Description: partial 18S ribosomal RNA
Rfam family: Eukaryotic small subunit ribosomal RNA
Source: RNAcentral
CAAGAGCGUAUGUAAAAGUUGUUGCAGUUAAAAAGCUCGUAGUUGAACCUUGGGUUUGGUUGGCCGGUCCGCUUUUUUGCGAGUACUGGAUUCAACCGAGCCUUUCCUUCUGGCUAACCAGUCGUUUCGGCGGCUGGCGAACCAGGAUUUUUACUUUGAGAAAAUUAGAGUGUUCAAAGCAGGCAUUAGCUUGAAUAUAUUAGCAUGGAAUAAUAGAAUAGGACGUUAUGGUUCUAUUUUGUUGGUUUCUAGGUCCAUCGUAAUGAUUAAUAGGGACGGUCGGGGGCAUCAGUAUUCAGUUGUCAGAGGUGAAAUUCUUGGAUUUACUGAAGACUAACUACUGCGAAAGCAUUUGCCAAGGACGUUUUCAUUAA